This 466-nucleotide ribosomal RNA is filed under the name uncultured bacterium. RNAcentral describes it as "partial 16S ribosomal RNA". It matches the Rfam family "Bacterial small subunit ribosomal RNA", at positions 28 to 507 of the family's 1533-position model. The record is from RNAcentral.
GACGAACGCUGGCGGUGUGCUUAACACAUGCAAGUCGAACGGUAAGGCCCUUUCGGGGGUCCACGCGUGGCGAACGGGUGAGUAACACGUGAGUAUCCUGCCCUCAUCUCUGGGAUAACAGUCGGCAACGGUUGCUACUACUGGAUAUGAGCUUGCCAGGCAUCUUGUGGGUUGGCAAGAUUUUUUUGGUUGGGGAUGGAAUCGGGGCCUAUCCGCUUGUUGGUGUGGUAGUGGCUCACCAAGGCUUCGGCGGGUAGCCGGCCUGGGGGGGCGACCGGGCACAUUGGGACUGGGGUACGGCCCAAGCUCCUACGGGAGGCAACAGGGGGGAAUAUUGCACAAUGGACGGAAGUCUGAUGCAGCAACGCCGCGUGCGGGAUGACGGCCUUCGGGUUGUAAACCGCUUUCAAGUGGGACAGAGCUGAUUGUGACGGUAGCAGUAGAAGAAGCACCGGCUAACUACGUG